Long non-coding RNA from Triticum aestivum (bread wheat), 323 nucleotides. RefSeq lists it as uncharacterized. Lineage: Eukaryota; Viridiplantae; Streptophyta; Magnoliopsida; Poales; Poaceae. The transcript is spliced from 3 exons. The record is from RefSeq and is a predicted model, not a curated record.
UUUGACCAGAUUUCUUUUUUCGCAGGUCUGCCAUUCAGGGCCAACAUGGAGCUCUGUGGUGGGUACAAGUCAACAUAUAUAGGCAUUGUUCAAAUUUGCCGAUUAAUUUAUUCACCAUCAGGGGAGUUCCUGCUCCGCUCACAAGGGCCUGUCGUUGCUGUGGGAGCCUCUGACCGCACCAUCCCUGUUCUUUUUCUUCUUCUACUACCUACUGCUGCCGUUGCUUGGUCUCUCAAGGGCACCUACUGCUGACAGAAGGCGAAAGGGCUGGUAUGAUAAAGAGACCACUCUUCUGGUUCUUAUAGGUUGCUCUCUAAUGGAAG